CUGAUUUCCUCGGACGUCAGUGCCUUGUCGUCGUCCGCCAUUGCCCCCGGCCCCCUUUUGCUGCGUUACCGCGUCAGCUUCUUGUAUUUCACGCGAUGCGGGAUCACCGAAUCCUGGCCGAGACGGCGCAUCUUGUCCUUCUCGUAAUCCUGGAAGUUGCCCUCGAACCAUUCGACAUGGCUGUCGCCUUCGAAGGCCAGGAUAUGCGUGGCGAUGCGGUCGAGGAACCAGCGGUCAUGGCUGAUGAUGACGGCGCAACCGGCGAAAUCCUCCAACGCCUCUUCCAGAGCGCGCAGUGUAUCGACGUCGAGAUCGUUG
Molecule: unclassified non-coding RNA, 318 nt
Filed under: Hevea brasiliensis (rubber tree)
Lineage: Eukaryota; Viridiplantae; Streptophyta; Magnoliopsida; Malpighiales; Euphorbiaceae
Source: RNAcentral